Molecule: non-coding RNA, 250 nt
Organism: Schizosaccharomyces pombe (fission yeast)
Lineage: Eukaryota; Fungi; Ascomycota; Schizosaccharomycetes; Schizosaccharomycetales; Schizosaccharomycetaceae
Source: the annotation of a GenBank genome assembly
AAGGUUAAUCUGUAGCUUAUAACGAAGAAGUAAGGUAAAUAGACUACACUUGUGUUCUUUGACGAAAGUGUAUUCGAUGAUAUUGUAAAUGCUGAUUAAAUACUAAUGAGUCAACAAACGUGCCUAAAUGCUGGUUGCAUUCAAUGCCAUUCCUAUAUAUGAUGAUGGCCGAUUGAUCGUUAUUCAUUAGCGAUUCUUAAGAGGAUCGAUGAAUGAUAGUUUAAUAGUUUAGAGGGAUAUUCUGCAUUUA